Molecule: ribosomal RNA, 865 nt
Filed under: Ramularia miae
Lineage: Eukaryota; Fungi; Ascomycota; Dothideomycetes; Mycosphaerellales; Mycosphaerellaceae
Description: eukaryotic LSU rRNA
Rfam family: Eukaryotic large subunit ribosomal RNA
Source: RNAcentral
CAACAGGGAUUGCCCUAGUAACGGCGAGUGAAGCGGCAACAGCUCAAAUUUGAAAUCUGGCGCAAGCCCGAGUUGUAAUUUGUAGAGGAUGCUUCUAGGUAGCGACCGGUCUAAGUUCCUUGGAACAGGACGUCAUAGAGGGUGAGAAUCCCGUAUGUGACCGGCCCGCACCUUCUACGUAGCUCCUUCGACGAGUCGAGUUGUUUGGGAAUGCAGCUCUAAAUGGGAGGUAAAUUUCUUCUAAAGCUAAAUACCGGCCAGAGACCGAUAGCGCACAAGUAGAGUGAUCGAAAGAUGAAAAGCACUUUGGAAAGAGAGUUAAAAAGCACGUGAAAUUGUUGAAAGGGAAGCGCUCACAACCAGACUUCUGGGCGGUGUUCCGCCGGUCUUCUGACCGGUCUACUCACCGUCCCGAGGCCAACAUCAUCUGGGACCGCCGGAUAAGACCUCAGGAAUGUAGCUCCCCUCGGGGAGUGUUAUAGCCUGUGGUGAUGCGGCGCGUCUCGGGUGAGGUCCGCGCUUCGGCAAGGAUGUUGGCGUAAUGGUUGUCAGCGGCCCGUCUUGAAACACGGACCAAGGAGUCUAACAUCUAUGCGAGUGUUCGGGUGUCAAACCCCUACGCGUAAUGAAAGUGAACGGAGGUGGGAAGGGCAACCUGCACCAUCGACCGAUCCUGAUGUCCUCGGAUGGAUUUGAGUAAGAGCAUAGCUGUUGGGACCCGAAAGAUGGUGAACUAUGCCUGAAUAGGGUGAAGCCAGAGGAAACUCUGGUGGAGGCUCGCAGCGGUUCUGACGUGCAAAUCGAUCGUCAAAUUUGGGUAUAGGGGCGAAAGACUAAUCGAACCAUCUAGUAGCUGGUUCCUGCC